This 710-nucleotide unclassified non-coding RNA is filed under the name Hevea brasiliensis (rubber tree). Lineage: Eukaryota; Viridiplantae; Streptophyta; Magnoliopsida; Malpighiales; Euphorbiaceae. The record is from RNAcentral.
GGGUAACAGCAAUCCCAGAUUACCUCAUUAUCUAAAAUAAGUUGCUCAUAAGGUGACAAAAAUCACAAAAUACAAUGCAGGGUUUGGACAGCUAAAUAGAAACAGAAUCAAUAAAAGAUAACCAAGUUUCAAAAAAGAAAACAGAACAUAAGAUUCAAUUAACUCUCACACGAGACACUAGAACAUCUAAAAUUACUCAAAGGACGACAGUAAUCCUUCCAGCAACUUGAUCAAGGUCACGGCGCCCCUGGGAAGUAAUGCUCCUCCCCCCCUUGGGAUCAACCUCAACAAUGUUCAUUGCCUGCAGCUGCUGAAGAAUGUGGCGGGCUAUGGCACCACUGCUUUUGCAGAAAUGUGGAGGCCGGCUACCAUUCCUCUUGCGUCCUCCAUAGAUUUUUUGGAAAGCACCCACUCCAAUACCAUUCCUCAGAUAGAUCUUUCUUGCCAUAGAAGCGGCCCUAAUGUAAUACCAAUCUGGGUCAUAAGGAGCAAGCUCCUUAAACUUUCCAGUCUUCACAAUGUCUGUCCAGUGGGGAAGCUCCAUCUUUCCCGAUCGCUUCAGAUGGGAAGAGUAGGCUUUCACGAAAUCCUGGGGCGCGACGUCCUUCACGGUCCUGGAAACCGCCGCCGCCGGCGCCGCCUCCUCCAUCUCCGCCAUGGCUAUUCGCACUCGAUGAGACGUCUGCAAGGGGAAUUAGAUCGGGGCGGCG